This 498-nucleotide ribosomal RNA is filed under the name uncultured bacterium. RNAcentral describes it as "partial 16S ribosomal RNA". It matches the Rfam family "Bacterial small subunit ribosomal RNA", at positions 28 to 523 of the family's 1533-position model. The record is from RNAcentral.
GAUGAACGCUGGCGGCAGGCCUAACACAUGCAAGUCGAGCGGUUGAGGUAGCUUGCUACCGAAGCAGCGGCGAACGGGUGAGUAAUGCAUGGGAAUCUGCCUGGUAGUGGGGGACAACGUUUCGAAAGGAACGCUAAUACCGCAUACGCCCUACGGGGGAAAGGGGGGGAUCUUCGGACCUCUCGCUAUCAGAUGAGCCCAUGUCAGAUUAGCUUGUUGGUGAGGUAAAGGCUCACCAAGGCGACGAUCUGUAACUGGUCUGAGAGGAUGAUCAGUCACACUGGAACUGAGACACGGUCCAGACUCCUACGGGAGGCAGCAGUGGGGAAUAUUGGACAAUGGGGGCAACCCUGAUCCAGCCAUGCCGCGUGUGUGAAGAAGGCCUUCGGGUUGUAAAGCACUUUCAGUGGGGAGAAAGGUCAUUCACCUAAUACGUGAGUGAAUUGAUGUUACCCACAGAAGAAGCACCGGCUAACUCCGUGCCAGCCGCCGCAGUAA